RNAcentral lists this ribosomal RNA (486 nucleotides) under uncultured organism. Its description in RNAcentral is "bacterial SSU rRNA". It matches the Rfam family "Bacterial small subunit ribosomal RNA", at positions 28 to 507 of the family's 1533-position model. The record is from RNAcentral.
GAUGAACGCUAGCGGCAGGCCUAAUACAUGCAAGUCGAACGGCAAGAUUUGGUAGCAAUACUGAAUCCUAGAGUGGCGCACGGGUGAGUAACGCGUACAUGACAUACCUAUAAGCGAGGGAUAGCAUUGGGAAACUGGUAGUAACCCCUCAUGUGAUUAUUUGUAAUAAAGGUAAAUAAUUAAAACUACGGUGCUUAUAGAUUGGUGUGCGUCUGAUUAGCUAGUUGGCGAGGUAACGGCUCACCAAGGCGACGAUCAGUAGGGGGCGUGAGAGCGUGAACCCCCACACGGGUACUGAGACACGGACCCGACUCCUACGGGAGGCAGCAGUAAGGAAUAUUGGUCAAUGGAGGGAACUCUGAACCAGCCAUGCCGCGUGCAGGAUGAAAGCCCUCUGGGUUGUAAACUGCUUUUAACAGGGAAGAAAAUGCUAUACGCGAUAUAGUACUGACGGUACCUGAGGAAUAAGCACCGGCUAACUCCGUG